Molecule: long non-coding RNA, 319 nt
Organism: Carcharodon carcharias (great white shark)
Lineage: Eukaryota; Metazoa; Chordata; Chondrichthyes; Lamniformes; Lamnidae
Exons: 2
Source: RefSeq, a predicted model, not a curated record
GUCUAGUUGGUGCAAUGGGUUUUGCACUGUCCUUUUGCCUUUGGGAUCUGGGAUUGAAUUCAAACCAUACAAAUGGGAUUAAAGUGGAAUGAAACUGGGCGGUCUCAGUCCAUUUCUUAGAUUUAUCCACCAAUGAGACAACAGCACUAGAAACAAUCAUUUCCGAAUGUCCGGAACCACUAAAUUCAAACCAGCAAGUCAGAAAUGUAAUCGCAAACAGGGCCAUGCUUCCUAAUCUUGAGUUGAAAAUAGGAAGCUGAAAAUCAUUGCAUUAUCUCUGAAUUAUAUUAGAUGUCCAUUGUUUCAUAUAAAGGUGAGU